CCGCAUACGACCUUCGGGUGAAAGCAGGGACCUUCGGGCCUUGCGCGGAUAGAUGAGCCGAUGUCGGAUUAGCUAGUUGGCGGGGUAAAGGCCCACCAAGGCGACGAUCCGUAGCUGGUCUGAGAGGAUGAUCAGCCACACUGGAACUGAGACACGGUCCAGACUCCUACGGGAGGCAGCAGUGGGGAAUAUUGGACAAUGGGCGCAAGCCUGAUCCAGCCAUACCGCGUGGGUGAAGAAGGCCUUCGGGUUGUAAAGCCCUUUUGUUGGGAAAGAAAAGCAGUCGAUUAAUACUCGGUUGUUCUGACGGUACCCAAAGAAUAAGCACCGGCUAACUUCGUGCCAGCAGCCGCGGUAAUACGAAGGGUGCAAGCGUUACUCGGAAUUACUGGGCGUAAAGCGUGCGUGGGUGGUUGUUUAAGUCUGUUGUGAAAGCCCUGGGCUCAACCUGGGAAUUGCAGUGGAUACUGGGCGACUAGAGUGUGGUAGAGGGUAGUGGAAUUCCCGGUGUAGCAGUGAAAUGCGUAGAGAUCGGGAGGAACAUCCAUGGCGAAGGCAGCUACCUGGACCAACACUGACACUGAGGCACGAAAGCGUGGGGAGCAAAC
This 608-nucleotide ribosomal RNA is filed under the name uncultured bacterium. RNAcentral's name for it is "bacterial SSU rRNA". It matches the Rfam family "Bacterial small subunit ribosomal RNA", at positions 169 to 773 of the family's 1533-position model. The record is from RNAcentral.